GCGGCAGUGGCUCAGUGGUAAAGCCUCCGCUUCGCAUGCGGGGAGACCUGGAUUCGAUUCCCAGCUAUUUCU
Molecule: transfer RNA, 72 nt
Filed under: Toxocara canis (dog roundworm)
Lineage: Eukaryota; Metazoa; Nematoda; Chromadorea; Rhabditida; Toxocaridae
Rfam family: tRNA
About the family: Transfer RNA (tRNA) molecules are approximately 80 nucleotides in length. Their secondary structure includes four short double-helical elements and three loops (D, anti-codon, and T loops). Further hydrogen bonds mediate the characteristic L-shaped molecular structure. tRNAs have two regions of fundamental functional importance: the anti-codon, which is responsible for specific mRNA codon recognition, and the 3' end, to which the tRNAs corresponding amino acid is attached (by aminoacyl-tRNA synthetases). tRNAs cope with the degeneracy of the genetic code in two manners: having more than one tRNA (with a specific anti-codon) for a particular amino acid; and 'wobble' base-pairing, i.e. permitting non-standard base-pairing at the 3rd anti-codon position.
Source: Rfam by way of RNAcentral